RNAcentral lists this long non-coding RNA (628 nucleotides) under Homo sapiens (human). Its description in RNAcentral is "HSALNT0012584". The record is from RNAcentral. Lineage: Eukaryota; Metazoa; Chordata; Mammalia; Primates; Hominidae.
UCUCUUCAACAGUGGCCUGACACAAUAGCUAAGUGGGAUCAAACUUGAAGCCAGCCAUGCAGUGAAAGUGGGAAUUAGAACUGUUGCCCUGACUAGUAGUCAGUAUGCUUCUACCAUUCCACACCACCUUCUGAAAGAUAGGCACGUAUGUAGGUUAUGAAUGGGAGGGUUACUAUUACUCCAGGGUUCCUGUUAAACAUAUAUCAUGUUGUAGAGCAUAGACUCUUCUUCCCAAACAAUGCAUGGCCAAAGUGCUUCCUGGGUGUUGGUGAGGAACUGAGAGGAGGGAGCAAAAAAGAGAUGUGGCUCAGUUUGGGAUCUCCCAAUCAGACAAGGGCCCUGAAAUCAAGAGAAAGACAACAGAGAGUGUUCCUUGUUCUGAAGAGGAGAAACAGUAAAAAAUUUGCCAAGGACCCAAGAUAGAAGACUGUGGGCCCAGAUCCUAAUGUAAAAGAAGCCUGCCUCAACUUAAUUUUCCUGGACAGCAAGAGCUAUGAAAAUGAACUGGGUGAAUAUUGGUGUUUUCAGCUUGAGGUUCCAAUGAAUUAGGACAAUCAGAAGGAAGAGUUUAAUUUUGGGGUCUAGCAUGUUCGGCUUGAUGCUAAUAGACUGAUUUUGGAAGGCAGUU